This is a non-coding RNA of Camellia sinensis, 905 nucleotides long. Lineage: Eukaryota; Viridiplantae; Streptophyta; Magnoliopsida; Ericales; Theaceae. The record is from RefSeq and is a predicted model, not a curated record.
CCAUAUAUCCAUUGCCCACCCCUACCUCUCAUCGUUCUAUGAAACCCUGGAGAGAGAGACAACAAAUGCUGCGAGAGAAAAUUCGUUUACACAGAGAGAAUGAUGGCUAAACAUUCAAACCCAGAUUCCCAUUCUUCACAUUCUCAGGUUCUGGGUACUGCGAGCUCGCUUUCAUUUCCUUCUGAGCCUCCUGACAUCAGAAACAGGUUCUCAAGCUAUGUGUAUGAGUCUCCGGAAUUCAAUACAGGCGACGAUUUCGAAGGCUAUCCUUUUAGAAGAAGUGAAUUUGUGGAAGAGGGGUUUAACUGUGAAGAGAAGAGAAUUUGGGGGUAUUUAGGAAAAUUAGAAACAAGGAUGAAUUAGUUCUUGGUGAGAAAACAGCUCCAAUUGGGUUUGUGAGAUCUAACGACACUGCUGAAUGUUAUAAUCAGGGAAACAAGAACGCGAGUCAGAGCCCCCAGACAUUACAAGAUGGUUUUCAAGCUAUGCGUAUGAAUCUCCAGUAUUGGAUACGAGUGAUGAUUUCAAAGGUUCUAUUUUUACAGAAAGUGAAUGUGACAGGGUGGGGUGUAAUGCUGAAAACUGCAGCAAAGAAAAAGGAGAGAAUUUGAUGGACUUUAGAAGAAUUACUAAAAGGGAUCAUCUAUUGGCUGCUGAUGAGAAGAUAUCUUCAAAUGGCAUUAUUAAUGUAACAGCUCUGAUAGGGAUAACGAGUAUGAUCACCGCCAGUAUAAUAGCAAGGUACUCUAGUUCAUCUUUUUUGUAGUUUUUUUUGUUCUCAGUAUUUUCAUUGUUGUUUAUAGCUAGAAAAAAUUCUGAAACAACUAAUGGCAAAAUCACAACUCUUAAUUGUUUCAGGAAUUUAAAUUUUGAAACUUGAACAGGAUUGGAGAUGGCCUAAGGAG